Molecule: long non-coding RNA, 578 nt
Filed under: Elaeis guineensis (African oil palm)
Lineage: Eukaryota; Viridiplantae; Streptophyta; Magnoliopsida; Arecales; Arecaceae
Description: long non-coding RNA (EGUI_LNC070680)
Source: RNAcentral
GUGGGGCAUCAAAAGGAAGAAAAGAGAAGUGGGAUGAGAAGGUUCACGGCAAGGAAGACACAUCCUAAAAUCUCACGCACGCCAAUCACCUCUUUUUAUUUUUGUCACACAAAAAUAAACUCCCAAUGCCUCUUUUGCAAAUAAGUUCUGAUUCUCUUAUUUGAAUCAAAUUCAAAUAGAAAGUAGAGUCAAAAAGGGAGAGAGAGUCCCGAGAGGUGGGGUGCCCACUAUUGGCGCCCCUUUCUUUUCAUGCACGCAAGCAACUAAUCUCUUUUCACGCACGCAAGCAACUAAGGGCGCGCGUCUUCACGCAUGCCCUCUCUGAAGACGCGUGCCCUCUCUCUUUUCUGCAUGAAAGAGGAGAAGGAAGCCCAGUAAAAAAUGAGUUGGCUUCCUAAUUUGAUUGGAUUUCAAAUUGAGUUCAAUUCAAAUCCUAUUCUAGUCUAAUUCGAAUCAAAUUCGAAAAGGCUGUCAACCGACUCAACCCUGAUCUAAUUAGGAUUGAAUCCAAGUCCAACUUAGAUAAUCAAACUCAAUUAGUCUUAAAUUAAAUUAAGCCCAAUUAAAUUAAAUCCAAU